GGAUGUGAAGGUGAUCUGGCUGCAACAUCUGUUACCCCAUUGAUCGCCAGGGUUGAUUCGGCUGAUCUGGCUGGCUAGGCGGGUGUCCCCUUUCUCCCUCACCAUUCCAUGUGCGUCCCUCCCGAAGCUGCAUGCUUGGUAAAAGAGGAUGAUCUUCCCCAAUAUAGGAGGACUGGUCUUCGGUCAAGGGUAUACAAGUAGCUGUGCUCCCCUGCUAGAACCUCCAACCAAGCUCUCAAAAGGAUCUUUGGAAAAAAGACACUGUGGCUAGAUGGACCCCGUGUUCUCU
RNAcentral lists this small nuclear RNA (289 nucleotides) under Jaculus jaculus (lesser Egyptian jerboa). Its description in RNAcentral is "7SK RNA (ENSJJAG00000008067.1)". It matches the Rfam family "7SK RNA". Rfam says of the family: 7SK was discovered as an abundant small nuclear RNA in the mid-70s but a possible function has only recently been suggested. Two independent studies have found that 7SK RNA binds the CDK9/cyclin T complex (known as elongation factor P-TEFb). P-TEFb activates transcription by phosphorylating the C-terminal domain of RNA polymerase II. The record is from RNAcentral. Lineage: Eukaryota; Metazoa; Chordata; Mammalia; Rodentia; Dipodidae.